AGUUCGGAUUGAAGGCUGAAAUUCGCCUUCAUGAAGCCGGAAUUGCUAGUAAUGGCAGGUCAGCAUACUGCCGUGAAUACGUUCCCGGGCCUUGUACACACCGCCCGUCACACCAUGAGAGCCGGGAACACCCGAAGUCCGUAGUCUAACCGCAAGGAGGACGCGGCCGAAGGUGGGUUUGGUAAUUGGGGUGAAGUCGUAACAAGGUACC
Molecule: ribosomal RNA, 211 nt
Filed under: uncultured bacterium
Lineage: Bacteria
Description: partial 16S ribosomal RNA
Rfam family: Bacterial small subunit ribosomal RNA
Source: RNAcentral